Molecule: long non-coding RNA, 274 nt
Organism: Cryptomeria japonica (Japanese cedar)
Lineage: Eukaryota; Viridiplantae; Streptophyta; Pinopsida; Cupressales; Cupressaceae
Exons: 3
Source: RefSeq, a predicted model, not a curated record
CUACUCAAUUGGACAGUAGCAGGUGGAGUUAAAAGAGAAGAAACAAGUGGAGAUGAGCAGGGCAGAGAUGGAGUGGAACCAGCUGCUUGUUCUGUUCAAUUUGGGAAUCGGGUAUCUCUAACUCUUCAUUUGCAAUGCAAGCCUGUAACAUCAUUGAGACCUGCGAGCACGACAGCCCAGCAAGGGCAGGCAUGAAGUCCGCGCAUGAAGUCCGCGAGCUAUCAGCUCAGUAACCUUAAUUUUUAGAAGAUAUAAUAUUUUUGAAAAAUGUGAU